UAUGGGAGGCAGCAGGGGGAAUAUUGCACAAUGGGCGAAAGCCUGAUGCAGCUAUGCCGCGUGUAUGAAGAAGGCCUUAGGGUUGUAAAGUACUUUCAUCGGGGAGGAAAAACAAAACUAAUAAUUUUAUUUCUUGACGUUACCCGAAAAAGAAGCACCGGCUAACUCCGUGCCAGCAGCCGCGGUAAUACGGAGGGUGCUAGCGUUAAUCAGAAUUACUGGGCGUAAAAGAGCACGUAGGUGGUUUUUUUAAAGUCAGAUGUGAAAAUCCCUGGGCUUAACCUAGGAACUGCAUUUUGAAACUGAAAUACUAGAGUAUCGUAGAGGGAGGUAGAAUUCUAGGUGUAGCGGUGAAAUGCGUAGAUAUCUGGAGGAAUACCUGUGGCGAAAGCGGCCUCCUAAACGAAUACUGACACUGAGGUGCGAAAAGCGUGGGGAGCAAAACAGGGAUUAGAUACC
RNAcentral lists this ribosomal RNA (459 nucleotides) under uncultured bacterium. Its description in RNAcentral is "bacterial SSU rRNA". It matches the Rfam family "Bacterial small subunit ribosomal RNA", at positions 340 to 786 of the family's 1533-position model. The record is from RNAcentral.